UUCAGUCAUGAGGCACGACAUGUAACUUCCGUCAAUACAAACGGUAAAGAUUAAUAGAAGCUGCUCUGUUGGGCGUUCCUAGUUGUCGUAUCGUUCAUUACAGGUUGUAAGUAGUCAAUGUGCUUUACUGUUUUGGAAUCAUCUUCUCUUUGCCGCUGAUGAAUCUUUCAUAUCGGACCGAUAUUGGAGUUAAGUUGCCCGAAACUUGAGCAUCUCUUUCGCUACAAAGGAAACCGAGAAGCAUCAAGUUGCGGAGAAUAUGUUGAGCCAUUCCCCGGACGAGGAUAAUAUAACUUUAUAGUUAUUCGUACGCUUCGUGGAAAUUUCAUUUGUUAUGUGACGACUACUGCACCUGGAGCUUUAUUGAAGUUGGCUUUCACUCUUGGUCAUCCUGGUUUUAUAUGGGAGCGAGGAACGCAAGCGACAUAUUGUUGCGGGACUGCUAUAAUAUACAGGAGGCCUCCAAACCGGUUUAGUCACGCUGAAGGACAUUUAUCGAGUCAAAACAUUUGCUGCGGCCUAAUUCACUUAAAAUUGAUUACAACUCAUGCGUUACUUUAGAUCAUUUGCAUCUCUCGCAUAACAGACCUGAUUCCGACCCAAGUGGGUCACCUUCUUUCACUGCUCCGAUUCUAGUAUCGGCCGUUUCCGAAGAGAUGGUGACCAUAUAUUAUGUCGUAUUCAUCUAUGCACUGGUAGCGUUAUCAAGUGCGGGGUCACAUUAUUUAGAGUAUUGCUAUGAGAAGAUGAUCAUCAAUGAGUUACAUAUCGGCAGGAAAACCAUGAUCAUCCAUCUCGAGAAUAGCAAGACUAUACUUCCAGUUGGAAUACGCGUGCGCGUCACGAAGGUCUACAAUGGUGCAUAUCGUGUGUCUGCCCUUUUGCCGAAGUCGGACAGAACUCUUUCCGAAGCCACUUUUGCGACGCCGGGAGAAAUGGACUUCGAUCCGAGAUAUGUUCUCGGGAGUAUCAGAGUGACGUUUGCUCCUGACGUCCCCACUGAUAAUAACUUCCGGAAGGACAGAAAACCAAGAGUACGAAUACAGGUGUUUGGUUGUUAUGAUCCGAAAUGAUCUUGAGAACCGGCGAUGUUUACGGCGAAGAUUUAUCCGCAACAGUUAUGGAGAGGAGAAGGGAGCGUCGAUAUUUCUAAGGUUAUCAUACGUGUAGUUCAAUAAUUAUGCACGCAUGGUGUAGGGCCGUAGAUGGCCAAUUGGUAUCAUCUUUAUGCAAUGACUCGUGUUUGUUUGAGGAACUCUCGAUCCCGACCUGAACGCUACUCCACUAUCGAAAGAAACGAGAGAAACCCAGUGGACUCUCCGAAUUGAAGAGUUGUUCGCUGCGUUCUAUGAAUGCAUCUGAAUCAGUCAUCAAAGGAGUGUUAUAUAGUCAAGGCUGUCAGGAGAUAAUGCCGUACAUGAAGGGCGUGUUUCUGACAUCAAAUCAUGGUAGUCAGUAUAAAAUCAUAGUAGACAGUAUGAAAGCAUAGUAGUCACCUCUUUGAUGACUAUCAUAGCCGCCGAGGUGGUGAUUCCUGAUGAAAUCACCGUUGUUACUGCGGACCGCCAAUCGUCGGGUUGAAACAUGGCAUAAAAAGCGCUGUUGAAAGUUAUAUUGGAAUGAUCAGUUGCCACGACCUCCUCGCCAAUUGCCAUUGACCUUUAAUUUUAUGUCUAUCAAAAGGACCUUCGUUCCCGGACGUGGAGGUUUCUGCUACAUUGGUCGACACCUAGUCGACACCUAGUAACACGCAGUAGAAAAAGAUGUCGCUGUAGUUGUCUGUUGAUUAUUUGUGUAUUCCCUCCUUAUUAAAUGUAGUGUUGACA
This is a long non-coding RNA of Lineus longissimus, 1826 nucleotides long. RefSeq lists it as uncharacterized. NCBI's taxonomy places the organism in Eukaryota, Metazoa, Nemertea, Pilidiophora, Heteronemertea, Lineidae. The record is from RefSeq and is a predicted model, not a curated record. The transcript is spliced from 3 exons.